GACGAACGCUGGCGGCGUGCUUAACACAUGCAAGUCGAACGGAAAGGCCCCUUUGGGGGUACUCGAGUGGCGAACGGGUGAGUAACACUUGAGUAACCUGCCCUUGACUUCGGGAUAACUUCAGGAAACUGGGGCUAAUACCGGAUAGGAAUCCUUGCUGCAUGGUGGGGGUUGGAAAGUUUCGGCGGUUUUGGAUGGACUCGCGGCUUAUCAGCUUGUUGGUGGGGUAGUGGCUUACCAAGGCUUUGACGGGUAGCCGGCCUGAGAGGGGGACCGGCCACAAUGGGACUGAGAGACGGCCCAGACUCCAACGGGAGGCAGCAGUGGGGAAUAUUGCACAAUGGGCGGAAGCCUGAGGCAGCAACGCCGCGUGCGGGAUGACGGCCUUCGGGUUGUAAACCGCUUUCAGCAGGGGCGAAGCUUGUGGUGACGGUACCUGCAGAAGAAGCACCGGCUAACUACGUG
This 465-nucleotide ribosomal RNA is filed under the name uncultured bacterium. RNAcentral describes it as "partial 16S ribosomal RNA". It matches the Rfam family "Bacterial small subunit ribosomal RNA", at positions 28 to 507 of the family's 1533-position model. The record is from RNAcentral.